RNAcentral lists this ribosomal RNA (493 nucleotides) under uncultured bacterium. RNAcentral describes it as "partial 16S ribosomal RNA". It matches the Rfam family "Bacterial small subunit ribosomal RNA", at positions 28 to 507 of the family's 1533-position model. The record is from RNAcentral.
GACGAACGCUGGCGGUGUGCUUAACACAUGCAAGUGGUGCGACGAACCAGAGCUUGCUCUGGGGCAAAGCCGCGGACGGGUGAGUAACACGUGGGUAAUCUACCCCGAUGACCGGGACAACCCGAGGAAACUCGGGCUAAUACCGGAUGUGGUGCGGAGACAUAAGUCUCUUCACUAAAGGUAGCUUCGGCUUCCGCAUUGGGAGGGGCCCGCGGCCCAUUAGCUUGUUGGUGGGGUCAAGGCCUACCAAGGCAACGAUGGGUAGCUGGUCUGAGAGGACGAUCAGCCACACUGGGACUGAGACACGGCCCAGACUCCUACGGGAGGCAGCAGUGGGGAAUCUUGCGCAAUGCGCGAAAGCGUGACGCAGCAACACCGCGUGAGGGAAGAAGGCCUUAGGGUUGUAAACCUCUUUCAGAUGGGACGAAGGUUCUCCGGUGAAUAGCCGAGAGGAUUGACGGUACCGUCAGAAGAAGCUCCGGCUAACUACGUG